GACGAACGCUGGCGGCGUGCUUAACACAUGCAAGUCGAACGGAAAGGCCCUGCUUGCAGGGUACUCGAGUGGCGAACGGGUGAGUAACACGUGGGUGAUCUGCCCUGCACUUCGGGAUAAGCUUGGGAAACUGGGUCUAAUACCGGAUAGGAGCCAUCUUUAGUGUGGUGGUUGGAAAGUUUUUUCGGUGUAGGAUGAGCUCGCGGCCUAUCAGCUUGUUGGUGGGGUAAUGGCCUACCAAGGCGGCGACGGGUAGCCGGCCUGAGAGGGUGUACGGCCACAUUGGGACUGAGAUACGGCCCAGACUCCUGCGGGAGGCAGCAGUGGGGAAUAUUGCACAAUGGGCGCAAGCCUGAUGCAGCGACGCCGCGUGGGGGAUGAAGGCCUUCGGGUUGUAAACUCCUGUCGCUAGGGACGAAGCUUUGUUGUGACGGUACCUAGAGAAGAAGCACCGGCUAACUACGUG
Molecule: ribosomal RNA, 466 nt
Filed under: uncultured bacterium
Lineage: Bacteria
Description: partial 16S ribosomal RNA
Rfam family: Bacterial small subunit ribosomal RNA
Source: RNAcentral